RNAcentral lists this ribosomal RNA (376 nucleotides) under uncultured bacterium. RNAcentral describes it as "bacterial SSU rRNA". It matches the Rfam family "Bacterial small subunit ribosomal RNA", at positions 524 to 898 of the family's 1533-position model. The record is from RNAcentral.
GACGGAGGCCCCUAGCGUUGUUCGGAAUUACUGGGCUUAAAGCGCGUGUAGGCGGGUCGGUAAGUGCUUUGUGAAAUCCCCGGGCUCAACCCGGGAAUAGCUUGGCAUACUGCCGGUCUUGAGGCAGGUAUGGGUCACUGGAACCUUAGGUGUAGCGGUGAAAUGCGUAGAUAUCUAAGGGAACGCCGGUGGCGAAAGCGGGUGACUGGGCCUGUCCUGACGCUGAGACGCGAAAGCGUAGGGAGCAAACGGGAUUAGAUACCCCGGUAGUCUACGCCGUAAACGAUGCGCACUAGAUUCGAGAGCCCCUGACGGCCCUCGGGUCGAAACAAAAGCGUUAAGUGCGCCGCCUGGGGAGUACGGCCGCAAGGCUAAA